UGGGGAAUAUUGCACAAUGGGCGCAAGCCUGAUGCAGCCAUGCCGCGUGUAUGAAGAAGGCCUUCGGGUUGUAAAGUACUUUCAGCGAGGAGGAAGGCGUUGUGGUUAAUAACCGCAGCGAUUGACGUUACUCGCAGAAGAAGCACCGGCUAACUCCGUGCCAGCAGCCGCGGCAAUACGGAGGGUGCAAGCGUUAAUCGGAAUUACUGGGUGUAAAGCGCACGCAGGCGGUCUGUCAAGUCGGAUGUGAAAUCCCCGGGCUCAACCUGGGAACUGCAUCCGAAACUGGCAGGCUAGAGUCUUGUAGAGGGGGGUAGAAUUCCAGGUGUAGCGGUGAAAUGCGUAGAGAUCUGGAGGAAUACCGGUGGCGAAGGCGGCCCCCUGGACAAAGACUGACGCUCAGGUGCGAAAGCGUGGGGAGCAAACA
Molecule: ribosomal RNA, 427 nt
Filed under: uncultured bacterium
Lineage: Bacteria
Description: partial 16S ribosomal RNA
Rfam family: Bacterial small subunit ribosomal RNA
Source: RNAcentral